GUUGACGAAAACACAUAGAAAAAAACCAUAAGUUCACUUCUCUUCUCUUUCUGCCUCAAAAUUCUCAUUCUUCUUUCUCAUUUCAAAAAAACGCCGCCGCCCUCUUUCUUCCUCCGACGCGGUGGCCGGUGAGCCACAAGGGUGGCACCGCCGCGUCGGAGAACAUAAACAUAUCUGAUUUCAAAAAAAGAAAUCAGUUUUACAAAUCCAUUUUGAUUUAAAGCCCGAACCCGAAAACGAAACUUCAAAGAAAAAUAUAGAUCGCUCUAGAUCCAAAGAUGAAAGUGGAUCUGAGAAAAAAUUAUACAUCCUUCUCUGUUCUGGAUUUCGUUCCUGUUUGUUUCACUAAGGCUGGUUCGGUUGUUUGCAGAUUUGUGCCUGGCUUUGUUUGAAAAUCUUGUUGAUGAUAUGGGUUUCGCAAAUUUUUUGAGGUUGUUAGUUGUGAAUGGGUUUUGGACUGUUGUUAUGAGAUAAUGUGUCUUUGAUGAUAAAGCUUAUGGAAAUU
RNAcentral lists this long non-coding RNA (505 nucleotides) under Medicago truncatula (barrel medic). RNAcentral describes it as "lncRNA gene39213". Lineage: Eukaryota; Viridiplantae; Streptophyta; Magnoliopsida; Fabales; Fabaceae. The record is from RNAcentral.